Molecule: RNA transcript, 1731 nt
Organism: Prosopis cineraria
Lineage: Eukaryota; Viridiplantae; Streptophyta; Magnoliopsida; Fabales; Fabaceae
Gene name: protein DETOXIFICATION 35-like
Exons: 7
Source: RefSeq, a predicted model, not a curated record
UAUCUUGUCACAACAACUGUACUGUUUUCAACCUGAUCACUUCACUUCUGAAAUUAAGAAGCUGAGAGUGGCCACAUGGAGACACAGUCGUCGUCAACGCCUCUGCUUAAUGGCACAGAGGAGGCGAUGAUUGCCGACGACGGCGACUAUGCUCCGAUCAGAAACUUGGAGGCGACAAAGAAGGUGAUAUGGAUUGAAAGUGUAAGAGUGUGGAAGAUUGCUGUGCCCAUUGCUUUUAACUUGCUCUGCAACUUCAGUAUCAUCCCCAUCACCUCGAUGUUCGUCGGCCAUCUCGGUAAUCUCGAGCUCUCCGCCGUCGCCAUCUCCCUAUCUGUCAUCGGAACAUUCACCUUUAGUUUAAUGUUGGGCAUGGGGAGUGCCUUGGAGACACUAUGUGGGCAAGCAUUCGGAGCUGGGCAAGUGCAUAUGCUUGGUGUUUACAUGCAACGCUCAUGCAUAAUACUGUUCGUCGCUUGCUUCAUCCUCUUGCCAGUUUUCAUCUUUGCUACACCAAUUCUAAAGCUUCUAGGCCAAGAAGAUGAAAUCGCCGAUCUUGCCGGCGUGUUCUCAAUCAAAACAAUCCCUCGGCUUUUCUCUCUCGCCUUCAUUUUUCCCACUCAAAAGUUUCUCCAAGCUCAGAGCAAGGUCAAUGUGCUGACCUUGAUUGGGUUCAUGGCUGUGGUCACUCAUGUUUUUUUGCUAUGGCUCUUCAUUUAUGUGCUCCAUUGGGGCACCACUGGGGCUGCAGUGGCUUGUGAUAUGUCUUUUUGGCUGAUUGCUUUGUCUCAGAUUGUUUAUGUUGUUGGAUGGUGUAAGGAAGGAUGGCAGGGAUUGUCGAUGUUGGCUUUUAAAGAUAUUUGGGCUUUUACGAGGUUGUCUCUAUCAUCCGGUAUCAUGAUUUGCUUUGAGAUUUGGUAUUUGAUGAGCCUCGUUCUUCUUACAGGACACCUUCAUGAUGCAGUCAUUGCUGUUGAUUCCCUUUCUAUUUGUAUGUAUUACAAUGGCUGGGAGAUCAUGGUAUUUCUUGGAGUAAAUGCAGCAAUCGGUGUUAGAGUCUCAAAUGAACUUGGAAUGGGGCAUCCAAGGACUGCCAAAUACUCAGUGUACGUCACGGUGACUGAGUCUCUUUUGCUUGGAAUUCUGUUCAUGGCUGUUGUACUAAUUGCUAGAAAGUACAUAGCUUUGCCUUUCACCACCAGUGCGACUCUACAAGAAGCUGUUGCCAGCCUUGCAUACUUGCUUGCUAUAACUAUGCUUCUUAACAGUGUUCAACAAUCGAUUUCAGGGGUGGCUGUGGGAGGAGGAUGGCAAGCAUUGGUAGCCUACAUCAAUGUGGGCUGUUAUUACAUUUUCGGCCUUCCAUUGGGUAUCGUUCUUGGUUACGUUGCAGAUUUGGGAGUUAAGAUUUUGUUUAUGGUCAGGGACUUUGGGGUGGCAUGUUAGGUGGCAUUGCUUUGCAGACCUUGAUGCUCUUAUUUCUGCUCUACAAAAUUAAUUGGAACAGAGAGGUUGAACAAGCGACGGAGCGCAUAAGAUCCUGGGGAGGGCAAGACAUGAAAAAUGAUGGAGCAGAGAAGAUUGAAGAGCAUAUUUAAACCAUGCAUGAUGAUAGUAUCUUGAAACAAUUCGCUAUAUAUUUAUACAUGGACUCCUUCCCUCCCCGCUUUCUAAUCAAGUUUCGAAUUCCAAUUUCUAUUCUAAUCAAAUUUCGCUGUAAUCAAAUUUAUUUUA